AAAAACAAAAAAGAACAUCUCUAUUUUCUUCAAGAUUUUGCCUGUCUCGGUGCGUACGUUACUGAUCUUGUUUCCAAUUUGAUGUAAUUCGGUUGCGUAUCUGCUCGAAUUUUGAUCAAACUUUGGGGAUCAGGCAAUGGAUCAUCGUGGGUAUAUGCUUUGGUUGGCCAGUUCGGUUCAUACCCACAAAAUCAUGUGUCGUCGCUUUCGUUCUACUUCAUUGCUGUGAAAGCGGAUGAUGUGAAGUUUCAACUUCUUGCGCAGUGCUUUCUACGCGCAAUUUCAAACUUUGAAAAACGCAAAUGAAGCUUUUUUUUGUUUUAUUUCUUUUGGCCUCUAAAUCUCAGUACAAUUUCGACGGUGUUCACUUGGCCAGCGAAAAAGUUUUUUUUCCCCC
This 397-nucleotide long non-coding RNA is filed under the name Oryza sativa (Asian cultivated rice). RNAcentral's name for it is "long non-coding RNA (OSAT_LNC001644)". Lineage: Eukaryota; Viridiplantae; Streptophyta; Magnoliopsida; Poales; Poaceae. The record is from RNAcentral.